CGAAAGAGCGAGCGCGACGACAGAGAGUCCCUCGGAAAUAUAUAAAAGAGCGGGGGAGUCGUGUUAUUCUUCUAAUAAAUCGGUCGACUUUAAGAGAGAGAGCGCGCGCCAAAAGCACCGGAAAUAAAUCGGGGCGCGGAAUUCGCGUGCGAAGAAGAGGUAAACGCCGCCCGAUGACGGAAUUUAAAAUAGAUACACAGAGUAGUAAAUUGUCGAACUCGAGUCGGACGACACCGGUGAGACGCGACGCGUCUUUUAGUGGGAGACGCUAAAAUUAGAGGUGCGAGUAGUCGCAGUUUCAGCCUUCGCGGUUCUCGCGUCUCUUCAACUUGGAACAUUUCCGAAUAGUUGUUUGGCCCGAUAAGAUCCGGUUGUUCCGAUCAGUUGCGCUCUAUCAGUCACUUCGAGAGAGAGGGACAAGAUUAUGGCCCGCAUCAGCUGGCGGCGAACGACAGAUCCAGAUUCCGCGGCUCGAUAAGCGAGACUUCCGGGACUCUUGGGAAAGGAGAGAUGCCUGCUCGUCGAUCGAUAAUCGCUCGAUCGUUAGCCGGAUACCUCGCCGCGGUCUGCAUCGUGUCGUUGCCGACGAGUUUGCUCGCGCAAGUGGAAGGAAGAAAGUGCGUGUGCACGAGCAAAGCCUGCAAGGAAGCCGGCGUGGAUACUUGUAAAACGAGAUUCUUCUGUUACACCGAGCGUAUUCUGACAACGGGAGAAGAAGUUGGUGAAAGUACGGUCACAAGAGGAUGCACAGAGGGGGCCACGCCAUUGUUGUGCGAGACAAAGUCCUGGGUGACGAGAUCGCGAUCUGUCAACGCCGUGGAACCACCUCGUGGAUCGCUGAUUCUCGUUCCCUGGCCGAAAUUAAAGUGCUGCGACAAUCGCGACUACUGCAACGCUGCCGACGAAGACGACGAAGACGAUGAUAAUGAAGAGAAGGACGAGAGGAAGAUGUUGGAGCGGACGCGUUCCGCGAUGGAUCGCGAGAUGUUGGACGGUCCGUUAACGAAUCGGGACGCGUCGGCGACGGAAGUGCAGCCUGACCGGAAGUACCACGAUUCGGACGGGGUCGUCCAACUUGUGAGCGAUCGCGUCAGGGCGCUGCACGUCGCCGCCCUAAUCCUGGCCAUCGCGGCCCUCAUAUCCGUCCUGGCGUCCUGCUACGUGGUUACAAGAUUCCUGAGGAGCAAUCGUUAUAUGACGGACGCUAUAAACAAUUACUCGUGAAUACGUAAUGCCGAAGACUUGUAUUUAAUUAAUAUUGUGAUUCUGACGGAGUUUUGUCUAAUUUGUGCGGUCUUUCCUCCAGUGGGACAAAUUAGGAUAUAUGUAUAGGGAUAACUGGAAUAUCAGGGAGGUCCCAGGGAAAAAGAGCCACGUCACAAGCGUGACGGACGAUUCGGACGAUAUUCGAGAUCCCCCAACCGAACGAGGCUUCCUGAAGAGCGCGAAGCAACUCCGACUCGUCGCGUCCUCCUUUGUUCUACAUUGUAUGAGUAACGGAGCAAUGUUGUAGCUCGCAUUCUUCGCUGCCGUCGAGCGAGGGACCCUUCGAGGGACGGGCGCCCAAGUGUACGCCAGGUGAACCGGGGCCCCAUCGCGGUCCCCAUCCCGGGGCCCCAACCCCCCGAGUUUCAACGUAAUUAGUCAUCCUCCCUCUUCCAGGUUAACGCAUACACACAUCCUGCCGAACGAAAUAACGGCGAAGAGAAAUAAUGUGUAUGCGCUCGCGACCGAAACGCUAUGUCAUCGUGAGAAAGAGAAAGAGGUUUUCAUCCAACGUAAAUAAAUUGAUGAAGAGAGCAAACGUACGAGUACAGUGAAGCCUCUGUCAGUUCUAGCAUAAUCGCGCGUUGAGCUUUUCGAAGGCAGCGCGCGAAUAUGUGCGAAGCUGCCAGAAGAUGAGAGAAUGCGUGAUGCGGAUCUCUCGGUAUCGAAACUGUACAUCAAAUUGUAAACACGUCGCAUAUUUCGAGAGUUUCAAUUAAUUGCGUUCUAUUGCAAUGAUUUUAAUUUUAAAAAUAUGAAAUUGUAUAAUAUUGAUAUUAAAAAUUGAAAAUCUUUUGCCAAGUUCUAAGGAAGCGUCCUUAUAAAUUGAUUAAGGAUAUGUCAAAAAUAGUGGCACGUUUUUAAUUUUUAAAAUUGUAAACGCAUCGCAUAUUUCGAGAGUUUAAAUUAAUUGCGUUCUACUGCAAGGAUUUUAAUUUAAA
This is an RNA transcript of Nylanderia fulva, 2207 nucleotides long. RefSeq lists it as uncharacterized. The record is from RefSeq and is a predicted model, not a curated record. Lineage: Eukaryota; Metazoa; Arthropoda; Insecta; Hymenoptera; Formicidae.